GUUGUUGCAGUUAAAAGCUCGUAGUUGAAUUUCGGGGUUAGUAGGUUGGUCAUGCCUCUGGUAUGUACUGGUCUCACUGAUUCCUCCUUCCUGAUGAACCGUAAUGCCAUUAAUUUGGUGUUGCGGGGAAUUUGGACUGUUACUUUGAAAAAAUUAGAGUGUUUAAAGCAAGCUAACGCUUGAAUACAUUAGCAUGGAAUAAUGAAAUAGGACGUUCGAU
This 220-nucleotide ribosomal RNA is filed under the name uncultured fungus. RNAcentral's name for it is "partial 18S ribosomal RNA". It matches the Rfam family "Eukaryotic small subunit ribosomal RNA", at positions 609 to 835 of the family's 1831-position model. Lineage: Eukaryota; Fungi. The record is from RNAcentral.